This is a long non-coding RNA of Capsicum annuum, 4139 nucleotides long. RefSeq lists it as uncharacterized. The record is from RefSeq and is a predicted model, not a curated record. The transcript has 3 exons. Lineage: Eukaryota; Viridiplantae; Streptophyta; Magnoliopsida; Solanales; Solanaceae.
UUCUCAUGGCAACAAAGUCAAUAUCAUCUGCAACAACAGAGAUAAUAGCUAUUAUCCGGCUUUACAAUAUGGCAAUUCUGUUGCAGCUUAUGGUGAUGACCGCAGUCGUAGUUUCAUUUUCGACUGGUUUGUAUGUUACUUUAGCACAUUCUGUUGGUCUCGCCGUACUGUCUGUGUCAUAGGUGCCAUCUCUUUUUAUGUAGUCUUCUUUAUGAUGAUUCUUCCAGAAAAUUAACAUCCCAAGAGAAGGAACCUAAUUUCCAGCUAUCAACUAUUGAUCUUUUUUCCAUCUUCAUAUUUGAUGAUGUCCCUACAUAAUUAAUGUACUUAAACACUAUACCUUUACUUUUUCAGUAUAGACAAAUUGCAAGCUACUGUCAAUUAAUCAAUCAUGUUAUAAGGCUAUCAACAUCAUUUUCAUAACAGCUGUGAAGUUCACUAUCAUAAAUAGAUAGCUCCCACGACUAAAUGUAUUUGAGCCGCUUUAUAAUAUCUUUGACUAUUCUUUCAUCUCAUGGAGAGCAUUGGAGUAAUUGAUAAAGUUGUUAUCAUGUGAUCAGGAGGUCACGGAUAAUUAAUUAAUAAAUAUCCAAUGAACUUGAAAGUCGUUUGCUUUCUCGAGGUGAAACAACAACAACACACUCAGUAUAUCCCCACUAAGUGGAGUCUUGGGAGGGUAAGUGUACGCAGUCCAUACCACUAUCUCCGGUGAGAUAAAGAGGUUGUUUUCGAUAUACUCCCGACUCAAGAACUUUCUCAAGGUGAAACAUUAUAUAGAAAUUAAAAGUUGACCCUGUCUUUCCUUAGUACUAUAUAUAUCAGGGUCUUAUUUUGAUUUGCAUAGAACUUCUUAAGGUUAAAUAAAAAAAAGUAAUGGAUCCAAUCCUGUACAAUGCUGCGAUGGAAGGGAAUACAGGAAAUGGUGAAUUUCCUAACAACCCUUCCCCAGACCCUGCUCAUAUCGGAAGCUUUAAUGCACCGGCUUGCCUUUCUCUCUCUCUGUGUGUAUGUGUGUUAGACAGAGAGGGAGAAGAAGAGAGAAAAGUCGCUAAAUGUCAACGAAUAUAAUAUUUUGUAUCCAUAAUUUCUAAAGUACAAUAAUUAUAGCUUUAAGAAUUUCAAAGGUUGAAUCUUUCAAGUUUAAGUCUUACAGAUGACGGUUUUUAUCUAUGUCUGGAUCUUCGGAUAGCAUGUAUCCUGGAAAUGAAGAGCAAGAUGCGGCAAGCGAAUCUGAGAUGGUCUGGGCAGGUAAAGGCGAGAGGAGUUGAUGCACCAUGUGGAGCUUCGAGAGAUUGGCUAUGAAUAGUUUCAAGAGAGGUAGAGUAGACCAAAGAAGUAAUGGGAAGAGCUGAUGAGACAAGACAUGAUAUAGUUUCAGCUAACUGGGGACGUGACCUAAGACGAGAAGUUAUGGAGGACAUGAAUACGGAGGUCACGGGUUCAAGCCUCAGAAACAACUUCUGGCAGAACUGCAAGGUCAGGCUGCGUACAAUACACCCUUGUGGUGGUGCCCUCCCCCGAACCCUGCGCAUAGUGGGAGCUUUAGUGCACCGGGCUGCCCUUUUUUUGUCAUGCUCUCUAUAGUAUUUUUUCAUGGCUUUUCCACUUCUAACCUUUCUUUUUUGAACUGCUUUGAAUUGUUUUUCCUUGCGCUGAAGGUUUAUAAAAAUUCCGAAACCUCUUUGCCUUUCAAUGUAGGUUUAAUAUCUACGUAUACUCUAUCCUUUCGAAACUCUACUUGAGGAAUAUCACUGGGUAUAUUGUUGUUGUUGUACCAUGAAUUAUUUAGUGAAGGUACAUUGGUUUAUGCAAUUGUUGGUGACAAAAUGCAACCACUUAUAAUUUGAAUAGAAGAAAAUGAUCUUACAUAGAUUGUUAUAUCAUGUGAAAGAGGAUGUAUAACUAAAAUAACAUCUGUCAUAUGUAAUUCAAGGUAUUGGGUAAAAACUGAAAUAUGUUGCUGAAUUAUAUAUUUGCAAAGCAAUAAGUACAAGUAGUAGCUAGUUUUCAUGUCUCUCUACUUGCUUAUAUUCUUCAUCUUACACCAUCAUCAUUUUCCUUAAUAUAUAAAUAGAAACCAAGAUGCACAAUAAAAUAGAGAGACAACCUAUGGAACAGAUAGUAACGGCAAGACCAAGUGAAUGUGAUAAAGUAACAAACAUACCAGUUGCGAAUGCAAUUACAACUGCUAACAUUGACAAGCUCUGACAAAUAAUUGCGAGAAGAUAAAGCUUAAUUAAAAUUUUUUUAUGUUGAGGAUCUAUACUUAUAUCUGCCAUGCUGAAGUAGAUGAAUAUGGCAACAGCUGAGAAUGUGAAGGCAAUGGCAUCAGAAACAACAAAUGCACGAAAUGCUGUUUUCCUUAUUAGAAUCGCCAUCCCUUGAUUAGGGCUAUUGGGGUCACUCUCAAAACCUCCUGGCAAUGUGAUACCAGCGGCGAAAGUGACUGUCAUUAUCAAAGUGGCCACAACAAUAUGGAUCUGAGCUACGUUCAUAAGACUUUCGCCUUUUGUUUGAUAUACCUUUUUAGCUUUAUCGUGAUCAUCUUCCCUCAGUUGCAUUUUGCCUCCUGUUCCCGUUUCUGCAUUUGGAUUGGGCAUGUACUCGUACUUCCGCUUUACAUCAAAGUCACGUUUUCCAAAUCGGCCAAUGCUACACAAAUCCUCCAUCAAUUUCUCCUAUUUUCAUCAAUAGUACAGUUUAUAUUGAGUCGGUCGCAAUCAGUAUUUGAAAAACAAAUGUGCGACCGCAUACCUUAUUUGUCGUCGCUGUGCAUGACAAUGCUAUAUCAACUGGGGUCUGGUUUUGUUUGUUAAAUGACAUCUUCUUUGCUCUAGGAUGGUUUAUUAAUUCAGGCACAUGGUUACCAGAGGCAGCAAACAAAUGGAGAGGACUGUUGCCGUCACUAUCUGGCUCAUCAACAAGGCUGUUGCAAUUAUCAGAUUCUAAUAAGAAACGGACUACCUCGUCUUGAUUGUUCAAUAUGGCAACAUGAAGAGCAUUUUGUUUGUUGCUGUUAAGCAUAUCCCAACAAUCAGGGCAGUGAUUUAAUAGCUCAUAGAUCAUGUUUACAUCACCUUCACCAGCUGCAAUGUGAAUUGCUGUUGUCCAGUCAUUUUCACUGCCUGCCGGAAGGUACACUAAGGAUUUUUUCCACUCCAGCAUAUCAGAAACUACGUCUUUCAUUCCUAAUUUAACAGCAUAGUGCAGUGAAUUCCAACCCCAUAAGUCUGGUUCCUCGCAUAAAGGCUUAUUCCAAUGCCAUAGUGAUCUAAUGCAAUCUGGAUGUGUCAACACGAUAAAUGCAUAAAUAAGGGGUUAGAUCUUCUCGCAAAUAUAGUUGCACAACAGACAUUACGAAAUCAUCAACAGAUUAUGGGAAGGUCAACUGAAGUUAGAUAUUGAUAUAGCAAAUAACAAAAAUUGUAUACCUAUAUGUUCCUGAAUUACUGCUGCAUGCAGCGGCGUCCUAUUAGAUGGACCUGCAGCAUAAGUUGGUUUCUUGCAGGAUUCCAAGAUGUCAAUCAAAGCAUCAUGAAAACCAGAUUCAGCCGCCAGAUAGAGUGGCGUCUCCUGAGCAUGAUUAGGCAGAAAUUCGAAUUCAGAAUCUUCUUUCACCAAGAGCUUAACCACAUCUAGAUGUUGGCUCCGAACAGCCUUGUGCAGGGCUGUAUCUCCACUAGCAUCCGUCAUCUGCCAUAACAUUACCGGAGUAAUCUUAAGGACUUCUGCCGCGAAAUGGGAGUGGCCAUAGAGGGCUGCGACAUGAAGGACCGUGUUGCCCUUUGGAGUGACUUGGAAGCCAUUUUCUUCAUCCCUUUUCAAAUGAUCAGCAAGUAUAAAAUAGUCAUCUCUGAUAUUGCCUCUCAUCGCAGCAUUAUACAAGACUGGAUCCAUUCCUUUUGAUUUGGUGUUUUAUCCAAAAUCUCCCAAUGAUAAUCCUUUGAGUCCUUUGGUAAUCAAAAAAAUAAAUAAACAAGACACAACUAAAUGUGAACUGAUGGAUGAAAUAUAUACAUGUACUUGAUGAAGUCUACUCACCUAAGUCUUUGCAUUAGAAUAUCUUAAUAUAAUGCCAACCUGGUGUAGAAUUUCUAGGUGUGUUAUAUUUUUUUAAUAAAGUCUUUGUUGAAUCUUUA